RNAcentral lists this ribosomal RNA (293 nucleotides) under uncultured bacterium. RNAcentral describes it as "partial 16S ribosomal RNA". The record is from RNAcentral.
GGACUACCCGGGUUUCUAAUCCUGUUUGCUCCCCACGCUUUCGUGCAUGAGCGUCAGUGCUGGCCCAGGAGGCUGCCUUCGCCAUCGGUGUUCCUCCACAUCUCUACGCAUUUCACUGCUACACGUGGAAUUCCACCUCCCUCUGCCGCACUCCAAGCUAUCCAGUCUCAAGCGCAAUUCCUAGGUUAAGCCCAGGGAUUUCACACCUGACUUAAAUAACCGCCUGCGCACGCUUUACGCCCAGUAAUUCCGAUUAACGCUCGCACCCUACGUAUUACCGCGGCUGCUGGCAC